CAAAUUAUGUCAUUCGAAAGACCAGUGGAUAGACGUGGGAAAGUUUGUUUAGCAAAUGGUGAAUUCUUUACCAUAGAAUAGACGCCUGAGUUGCGUGUCAAAGAUGUAUGCAUUGAAAUUUGCAAGAAAUUGGACAUUGCUCCUAUGGCUUUACAUUUCUUCACACUUAUGACAACAGACUGUGAACACUGCCUUGACAUCGAAUGCCAGAUAACAGAAAAAUGUGACAGACAAAAAGAUCAUUAUUAUAAUCCCAACCAUAUAAUAAUCGGAAGACAUUUCCAAUCAGGUCUUUUUCUUUCGGCUUGCAUUUAGAGCUGUUCCUGGUUUCUAUUUAAAAGCUGUGAAUGUUGCUACAUUUGAAUACUUUGUCAUGCAGUGUCGAUGGGAUUACAUCAAGCAUAGAGUGGACAACUUGUCCUGGAAAGAUCAUCUCACUUUGCUAGUUCUUGAGUCAAUAAUCCAAGCUCACGAAAAAAACAUAACUGCCAAAGUUCUUGACAAACCGUUGAGGAAAUGCCAUAUGGUAUUGCUCAUUUGUUUGUGAGUAACGACUACAAGCCAAAAAAAUACGAUCUCAUUUGAAGACACAACUCCCACAGUUCAAAACUAGCAAACAAAUGUAGACAACGCGAAAAUCUCGUUUUGUAUGUCCUUGAGCGUGUUCCUGAUUUUGGUGUUAUAAAUAUU
This is a long non-coding RNA of Xenia sp. Carnegie-2017, 690 nucleotides long. RefSeq lists it as uncharacterized. Lineage: Eukaryota; Metazoa; Cnidaria; Anthozoa; Malacalcyonacea; Xeniidae. The record is from RefSeq and is a predicted model, not a curated record. The transcript is spliced from 4 exons.